RNAcentral lists this ribosomal RNA (1525 nucleotides) under Mycobacterium pseudokansasii. Its description in RNAcentral is "16S ribosomal RNA". It matches the Rfam family "Bacterial small subunit ribosomal RNA". Lineage: Bacteria; Bacillati; Actinomycetota; Actinomycetes; Mycobacteriales; Mycobacteriaceae. The record is from RNAcentral.
UUGGAGAGUUUGAUCCUGGCUCAGGACGAACGCUGGCGGCGUGCUUAACACAUGCAAGUCGAACGGAAAGGCCCUUCGGGGUACUCGAGUGGCGAACGGGUGAGUAACACGUGGGCAAUCUGCCCUGCACACCGGGAUAAGCCUGGGAAACUGGGUCUAAUACCGGAUAGGACCACUUGGCGCAUGCCUUGUGGUGGAAAGCUUUUGCGGUGUGGGAUGGGCCCGCGGCCUAUCAGCUUGUUGGUGGGGUGACGGCCUACCAAGGCGACGACGGGUAGCCGGCCUGAGAGGGUGUCCGGCCACACUGGGACUGAGAUACGGCCCAGACUCCUACGGGAGGCAGCAGUGGGGAAUAUUGCACAAUGGGCGCAAGCCUGAUGCAGCGACGCCGCGUGGGGGAUGACGGCCUUCGGGUUGUAAACCUCUUUCACCAUCGACGAAGGUCCGGGUUUUCUCGGAUUGACGGUAGGUGGAGAAGAAGCACCGGCCAACUACGUGCCAGCAGCCGCGGUAAUACGUAGGGUGCGAGCGUUGUCCGGAAUUACUGGGCGUAAAGAGCUCGUAGGUGGUUUGUCGCGUUGUUCGUGAAAUCUCACGGCUUAACUGUGAGCGUGCGGGCGAUACGGGCAGACUAGAGUACUGCAGGGGAGACUGGAAUUCCUGGUGUAGCGGUGGAAUGCGCAGAUAUCAGGAGGAACACCGGUGGCGAAGGCGGGUCUCUGGGCAGUAACUGACGCUGAGGAGCGAAAGCGUGGGGAGCGAACAGGAUUAGAUACCCUGGUAGUCCACGCCGUAAACGGUGGGUACUAGGUGUGGGUUUCCUUCCUUGGGAUCCGUGCCGUAGCUAACGCAUUAAGUACCCCGCCUGGGGAGUACGGCCGCAAGGCUAAAACUCAAAGGAAUUGACGGGGGCCCGCACAAGCGGCGGAGCAUGUGGAUUAAUUCGAUGCAACGCGAAGAACCUUACCUGGGUUUGACAUGCACAGGACGCGUCUAGAGAUAGGCGUUCCCUUGUGGCCUGUGUGCAGGUGGUGCAUGGCUGUCGUCAGCUCGUGUCGUGAGAUGUUGGGUUAAGUCCCGCAACGAGCGCAACCCUUGUCUCAUGUUGCCAGCGGGUAAUGCCGGGGACUCGUGAGAGACUGCCGGGGUCAACUCGGAGGAAGGUGGGGAUGACGUCAAGUCAUCAUGCCCCUUAUGUCCAGGGCUUCACACAUGCUACAAUGGCCGGUACAAAGGGCUGCGAUGCCGCGAGGUUAAGCGAAUCCUUUUAAAGCCGGUCUCAGUUCGGAUCGGGGUCUGCAACUCGACCCCGUGAAGUCGGAGUCGCUAGUAAUCGCAGAUCAGCAACGCUGCGGUGAAUACGUUCCCGGGCCUUGUACACACCGCCCGUCACGUCAUGAAAGUCGGUAACACCCGAAGCCAGUGGCCUAACCCUCGGGAGGGAGCUGUCGAAGGUGGGAUCGGCGAUUGGGACGAAGUCGUAACAAGGUAGCCGUACCGGAAGGUGCGGCUGGAUCACCUCCUU